This 492-nucleotide ribosomal RNA is filed under the name uncultured bacterium. RNAcentral's name for it is "partial 16S ribosomal RNA". It matches the Rfam family "Bacterial small subunit ribosomal RNA", at positions 29 to 507 of the family's 1533-position model. The record is from RNAcentral.
AGUGAACGCUGGCGGUAGGCCUAACACAUGCAAGUCGAACGGCAGCACAGUAAGAGCUUGCUCUUACGGGUGGCGAGUGGCGGACGGGUGAGGAAUACAUCGGAAUCUACUUUUUCGUGGGGGAUAACGUAGGGAAACUUACGCUAAUACCGCAUACGACCUACGGGUGAAAGCAGGGGUUCUUCGGACCUUGCGCGACUGAAUGAGCCGAUGUCGGAUUAGCUAGUUGGCGGGGUAAAGGCCCACCAAGGCGACGAUCCGUAGCUGGUCUGAGAGGAUGAUCAGCCACACUGGAACUGAGACACGGUCCAGACUCCUACGGGAGGCAGCAGUGGGGAAUAUUGGACAAUGGGCGCAAGCCUGAUCCAGCCAUACCGCGUGAGUGAAGAAGGCCUUCGGGUUGUAAGGCCCUUUUGUUGGGAAAGAAAAGCAGCAGGUUAAUACCCCGCUGUUCUGACGGUACCCAAAGAAUAAGCACCGGCUAACUUCGUG